This 253-nucleotide ribosomal RNA is filed under the name uncultured bacterium. Its description in RNAcentral is "partial 16S ribosomal RNA". It matches the Rfam family "Bacterial small subunit ribosomal RNA", at positions 524 to 776 of the family's 1533-position model. The record is from RNAcentral.
UACGAAGGGGGCUAGCGUUGUUCGGAAUUACUGGGCGUAAAGCGCGCGCAGGCGGUCUUCCAAGUCAGUGGUGAAAGCCCGGAGCUCAACUCCGGAAUUGCCAUUGAAACUGUGAGACUGGAGUACGAGAGAGGUGAGUGGAAUUCCCAGUGUAGAGGUGAAAUUCGUAGAUAUUGGGAAGAACACCGGUGGCGAAGGCGGCUCACUGGCUCGUAACUGACGCUCAGGCGCGAAAGCGUGGGGAUCAAACAGG